Eucalyptus grandis is the source of this 549-nucleotide long non-coding RNA. RefSeq lists it as uncharacterized. The record is from RefSeq and is a predicted model, not a curated record. The transcript is spliced from 2 exons. NCBI's taxonomy places the organism in Eukaryota, Viridiplantae, Streptophyta, Magnoliopsida, Myrtales, Myrtaceae.
GUUAUUAUCCCGGUGUUUCAGCAAGUUCGAUUUAGAGGCAGGAGAGGGACUACCACCCAGAACGUGUUGUGUGUUUGCUCAUUUGAUAUGAAAUUUACUUUCGUGUAUGCUGGAUGAGAAGGAUCUGCCAAUGAUUGUCGAGUGCUUUCGGCAGCACUCGAAACUCCUCAAUUGCAAUUUCCCCGACCACAACCUGGGAAAUACUACAUGGUAGAUUCCGGUUAUGCAGCACUUCCGGGAUUUUUAACUCAAUUUAGAAAGGAACGGUAUCAUCUCAGCGAAUAUAAAGGGAGUGAGAGACGGCCAAGAACAGCAUAAGAGUUAUUCAACUAUAAGCACUCUUCACUAAGAAAUGUAAUUGAGAGGUCAUUUGGGGCAUUAAAGAAUCGCUUCACCAUUUUGAGACAUAUGCCUCCAUUUACAAUUUGGAAGCAAGCACUUGUUGUAAUUGCAUGUUGUGCUCUUCAUAAUUACAUUCAUGAUCAAGAUAGGAUGGACAGAAAUUUUUCCAUAUAUGGAGAUCCGGAGUAUCCAUUUGGACCUACAGAA